AACGAACGCUGGCGGCAGGCUUAGCACAUGCAAGUCGAACGCAUCCUUCGGGGUGAGUGGCAGACGGGUGAGUAACGCGUGGGAACGUGCCCUUCAGUUCGGGAUAACCCAGGGAAACUUGGGCUAAUACCGGAUACGUGCGAGAGCAGAAAGAUUUAUCGCUGAAGGAUCGGCCCGCGCCUGAUUAGCUAGUUGGGGAGGUAAUGGCUCACCAAGGCGGCGAUCAGUAGCUGGUCUGAGGGGAUGAUCAGCCACAUUGGGACUGAGACACGGCCCAAACUCCUACGGGAGGCAGCAGUGGGGAAUAUUGGACAAUGGGCGCAAGCCUGAUCCAGCCGUGCCGCGUGAGUGAUGAAGGCCUUAGGGUUGUAAAGCUCUUUCGUCCGGGACGAUAAUGACGGUACCGGAAGAAGAAGCCCCGGCUAACUUCGUGCCAGCCGCCGCCGUAA
This 449-nucleotide ribosomal RNA is filed under the name uncultured bacterium. RNAcentral describes it as "partial 16S ribosomal RNA". It matches the Rfam family "Bacterial small subunit ribosomal RNA", at positions 29 to 523 of the family's 1533-position model. The record is from RNAcentral.